AGUAGGAGCCUAGGCAUUGGCCCACAGAUGUGCUGUUCUCCUUCUUUGGAUACCCGUCGCAACAACACAACCUUCUCUGUCUACUGGAGUUGUCUUGGUUGUAGAUUUGGAGAUCCUCAAUCUCUCAGCUUAGUUCUCUAAUGUUAAGUCAUAUCGACUCUUAGCAUAGUACUUUAUUUGCCACUGUUCUUUCUACCUUUAUUUUGCGAGAAUUUUCUAUGGGUAAGUUAUUCCAUCUGUAACACUUUAUGAUGUGAAAGCCCACACGAGGGUACCCAGAGCCCAUACACAAUGUGAUCUUAUUUACCUGUGAGAAGUCCAAGACAGUAACCACAAUCGUGACACGGUGGUGAGAAGGAACUUAAAACUCAGAACAGGACUUGUUUUCAUUCCUUUCUUGUUAGUAUCAUUCACAACUUCUGUAGAAGUUGGGAGUCCAGAAAGCAAAGGGCGGGAUUUUCUCACAUGAUCUUGACCCAUAUUGGGUUUUCUGUCUUCCAUCUCCACAUUUAACAUUAAAUAUAUCACAUCUCUCCAAAGGUCAUGCCUAUUCCAGUGUGCUACACUCAGUGAAGAAGUUGGACCAAGUAUCAAAAGAGUGAAGGCCAAGCUCUGACUGUUACAGAGAGUUUGAGAUGGACAAAUGAUGCUUGGAAAAACACUUGACUUCUCGCUGGGACCUCCAUCUACUGUAAAUAACCAACAACCUGUUCAAGGAUCAAUGUGCCUCUGACAUGAUGAAAACAAGGUAGAAGGGAGUCCACAGAAGGAAACGGGUCUGAGGUCUAACACCAUAACACUUCCAAUUCUGUCUUCUAGGCAUCACUAACAAUUCUAUAUAGUCCUACGUCCCAGAAGAUGAGUGAAGGUGUUACAGUUAGGAUGACUGUUGACAUGAGGCACUCAGAGGUUCGCCACAAAUCUGAAGGACAAGAUUGAGAUUGCCAUUCUUAUGGUCUUUCCAUAGUCUCCCCUUGCAAUCAGAAUUGACCAUCACUAUGGACCUCAUCUAUUAGAUGCAGGAUGUCUAGCAAGCCUCUGGACAGGCAGCAUGGCAGAAAUCAACUCUUUCCAAAAA
Molecule: long non-coding RNA, 1078 nt
Organism: Rattus rattus (black rat)
Lineage: Eukaryota; Metazoa; Chordata; Mammalia; Rodentia; Muridae
Exons: 2
Source: RefSeq, a predicted model, not a curated record